UACGAAGGGGGCUAGCGUUGUUCGGAAUUACUGGGCGUAAAGCGCACGUAGGCGGACUCUUAAGUCGGUGGUGAAAUCCUGGAGCUCAACUCCAGAACUGCCUUCGAUACUGGGAGUCUCGAGUCCGGGAGAGGUGAGUGGAACUGCGAGUGUAGAGGUGAAAUUCGUAGAUAUUCGCAAGAACACCAGUGGCGAAGGCGGCUCACUGGCCCGGUACUGACGCUGAGGUGCGAAAGCGUGGGGAGCAAACAGG
This 253-nucleotide ribosomal RNA is filed under the name uncultured bacterium. Its description in RNAcentral is "partial 16S ribosomal RNA". It matches the Rfam family "Bacterial small subunit ribosomal RNA", at positions 524 to 776 of the family's 1533-position model. The record is from RNAcentral.